AAAUUGAAGAGUUUGAUCAUGGCUCAGAUUGAACGCUGGCGGCAGGCCUAACACAUGCAAGUCGAGCGGUAGCACAGAGAGCUUGCUCUCGGGUGACGAGCGGCGGACGGGUGAGUAAUGUCUGGGAAACUGCCUGAUGGAGGGGGAUAACUACUGGAAACGGUAGCUAAUACCGCAUAACGUCGCAAGACCAAAGUGGGGGACCUUCGGGCCUCAUGCCAUCAGAUGUGCCCAGAUGGGAUUAGCUAGUAGGUGGGGUAACGGCUCACCUAGGCGACGAUCCCUAGCUGGUCUGAGAGGAUGACCAGCCACACUGGAACUGAGACACGGUCCAGACUCCUACGGGAGGCAGCAGUGGGGAAUAUUGCACAAUGGGCGCAAGCCUGAUGCAGCCAUGCCGCGUGUGUGAAGAAGGCCUUCGGGUUGUAAAGCACUUUCAGCGGGGAGGAAGGCGUUAAGGUUAAUAACCUUGGCGAUUGACGUUACCCGCAGAAGAAGCACCGGCUAACUCCGUGCCAGCAGCCGCGGUAAUACGGAGGGUGCAAGCGUUAAUCGGAAUUACUGGGCGUAAAGCGCACGCAGGCGGUCUGUCAAGUCGGAUGUGAAAUCCCCGGGCUCAACCUGGGAACUGCAUUCGAAACUGGCAGGCUAGAGUCUUGUAGAGGGGGGUAGAAUUCCAGGUGUAGCGGUGAAAUGCGUAGAGAUCUGGAGGAAUACCGGUGGCGAAGGCGGCCCCCUGGACAAAGACUGACGCUCAGGUGCGAAAGCGUGGGGAGCAAACAGGAUUAGAUACCCUGGUAGUCCACGCCGUAAACGAUGUCGAUUUGGAGGUUGUGCCCUUGAGGCGUGGCUUCCGGAGCUAACGCGUUAAAUCGACCGCCUGGGGAGUACGGCCGCAAGGUUAAAACUCAAAUGAAUUGACGGGGGCCCGCACAAGCGGUGGAGCAUGUGGUUUAAUUCGAUGCAACGCGAAGAACCUUACCUGGUCUUGACAUCCACAGAACUUUCCAGAGAUGGAUUGGUGCCUUCGGGAACUGUGAGACAGGUGCUGCAUGGCUGUCGUCAGCUCGUGUUGUGAAAUGUUGGGUUAAGUCCCGCAACGAGCGCAACCCUUAUCCUUUGUUGCCAGCGGUUCGGCCGGGAACUCAAAGGAGACUGCCAGUGAUAAACUGGAGGAAGGUGGGGAUGACGUCAAGUCAUCAUGGCCCUUACGACCAGGGCUACACACGUGCUACAAUGGCAUAUACAAAGAGAAGCGACCUCGCGAGAGCAAGCGGACCUCAUAAAGUAUGUCGUAGUCGGAUUGGAGUCUGCAACUCGACUCCAUGAAGUCGGAAUCGCUAGUAAUCGUAGAUCAGAAUGCUACGGUGAAUACGUUCCCGGGCCUUGUACACACCGCCCGUCACACCAUGGGAGUGGGUUGCAAAAGAAGUAGGUAGCUUAACCUUCGGGAGGGCGCUUACCACUUUGUGAUUCAUGACUGGGGUGAAGUCGUAACAAGGUAACCGUAGGGGAACCUGCGGUUGGAUCACCUCCUUACCUUAAAGAA
This 1549-nucleotide ribosomal RNA is filed under the name Klebsiella pneumoniae. RNAcentral describes it as "bacterial SSU rRNA". It matches the Rfam family "Bacterial small subunit ribosomal RNA". Lineage: Bacteria; Pseudomonadati; Pseudomonadota; Gammaproteobacteria; Enterobacterales; Enterobacteriaceae. The record is from RNAcentral.